This 253-nucleotide ribosomal RNA is filed under the name uncultured bacterium. Its description in RNAcentral is "partial 16S ribosomal RNA". It matches the Rfam family "Bacterial small subunit ribosomal RNA", at positions 524 to 776 of the family's 1533-position model. The record is from RNAcentral.
UACAGAGGUCCCGAGCGUUGUUCGGGUUCACUGGGCGUAAAGGGUGCGUAGGUGGUGGGGUAAGUCUCGUGUGAAAGCUCGCAGCUUAACUGCGAAAAGUCACGGGAUACUAUUCCGCUGGAGGCUUGGAGGGGGGACUGGAAUACUUGGUGUAGCAGUGAAAUGCGUAGAUAUCAAGUGGAACACCAGUGGCGAAGGCGAGUCCCUGGACAAGACCUGACACUGAGGCACGAAAGCCAGGGGAGCAAACAGG